ACGUAGGGUGCGAGCGUUAAUCGGAAUUACUGGGCGUAAAGCGUGCGCAGGCGGCUAUGCAAGACAGGUGUGAAAUCCCCGGGCUUAACCUGGGAACUGCACUUGUGACUGCAUGGCUAGAGUGCGUCAGAGGGAGGUGGAAUUCCGCGUGUAGCAGUGAAAUGCGUAGAGAUCCGGAGGAACACCAGAGGCGAAGGCGACACCCUGGGCCGUACCUGACGCUAAGACGCGACAGCACGGGGAGCGAACGG
RNAcentral lists this ribosomal RNA (251 nucleotides) under uncultured prokaryote. RNAcentral describes it as "partial 16S ribosomal RNA". It matches the Rfam family "Bacterial small subunit ribosomal RNA", at positions 525 to 775 of the family's 1533-position model. The record is from RNAcentral.